GAAGUCCUGCAGGUUAUCAGCAGGAUGCUGUCGGCCUUUGACCUCUGCCCUCAGCAGCUCCUCUGAUCUCAAAGAGCUCGACCUGAGGGGCAACCAGCUGAUGGACCAGGGGGCGGAGCUGCUUUCUGAUUGGCUGAGGAAACCCCAGUGUGGACUGAAGACACUGAGGUUGUCACAUUGCACAGAGAGCAGCUGUGAGUAUCUGGCCUCAGCUCUGAAGUCGAACCCUUCACACCUCAUAGUUCUUGAGCUGAACAAGAGUGAUCCAGGAGAAAAAGGUCUGAAGCUGCUGACUGAUUUACAGAAGAACAAAUCUAUCAGACUAGAGACACUGAGUGUGAUGAAGUGAACCGGACCAGAUAAAAGAUACUGGAUCAUUUUCUUCCUUCGGUCCAGACCAAAUGAGCUGAGCUACAGGUGUGAAAGUCACCUUACAUGCAUCCUGAUUCUCCUCUCUCAGGAAUCAAUACUGAAAACUUUUCAAUCAGAAGUCAGAGGGUAUCAGAGACCAGCUGCCAGCUGAGAAGACGAUUGUGGCCGGACAGAUGAACAAUGAGGAGCUGCAGAUUCAGCUGAUCAUUCUCUGCAGGUUCAUCACUUCCAGAGACACACAACACGUUUCAGGAGCCUUUUCCUAAUUUUCUAUUCACUUGGCACUUAAUAAUAAUGUUGUUUAUAUGUUUGUAUGAGUAUGUGCCGUCUCACAGGACUGACCUAUAAAUAGGAGGAGUACCAGGAGAAGGCGUGGCGGACUGGGAGCAGACAGCUUUUGACCAUGCUGUUGCUGGCUCCUCUCCCCUUAUGAUUUAUUGAUUAAGUUGAUUUGUGUCUGCUGUUUUUAUUGAACUAAGGCUCCCAAAGAAAAUGUAUGUAAUCACUUCAUGGCUGGAAUAAAACUACGUUAUUUUGGAGACUUUGAAGAGUCAAGUUCCUCCAGUCAUCACCCACAAGUCUAAUAAGGUCUGUUAUUUAAAACAUUUUUAUUAUUAAAAAUAACUAACGUAGUAACUUUGAUUUACACGACAGGCAGUUUGUCUCUUUGUACGUGUUCACUUUAAUGAACCAGUUCUCACGUGUCAUAUUCACUCUGUUUAAAUCAAGUUGUAGGAGCCAUGUUGUGUUUAUUUAUUUAUUCUGUACCUCCAAAAUACAGGGGGCAGUAUUUCCUUUGUUUACUGACCCUACGCGGAUGUUGGCGGGGGGUCAGGCAGGUUACUUAAGGUUACUCAGUGUUGCACAGGUGAGGCUGAUUAGAGGGGAGAAGCAAACGGUUUUCGACUGUGCUUGUGCGUUUUUCUGUUUAUAAUUUAUGUAGACAAGUGUUAAGUAUGUGGCUUCCGCAAGAAAUUAAAUGAACAUUAUUAUUUCAAACGCAAA
Epinephelus lanceolatus (giant grouper) is the source of this 1377-nucleotide non-coding RNA. NCBI's taxonomy places the organism in Eukaryota, Metazoa, Chordata, Actinopteri, Perciformes, Serranidae. The record is from RefSeq and is a predicted model, not a curated record.